CGGCGGCCCUGCGGGCGCUGGCUGCCCGACGUCCGCCUGCGCCCCGCCGCGCCUCCGUCCCGCUCGCCCGCUCCGCUCUGCGGCCUUCGGCUUCCCCUCUGCACCGCCUUUGCCACCCUCCGCCGCCAGGGAUUCCUCGAGACCUCUUCGGUGACCCCUGCGUGCCCUUCGCUCCCUGCAGAUCCAUCCCGCGUCCUGGCCUGCCCAGUCUCAGCCGGAUAGACCGCGCGCCUCUCGGUUCACCCUUGUCAACUCCUGCGGCCCCUCAGGUGCUGUCUGCCUCAGGGCCCAGGGAGGUCGGGAUUUGAAUGGGACGGGAAGGCCAUCCAGAAUCAUCCGGUGCUUCACUCAACAUUCUCUUCAAGAAAAUCCCCCUACAGAAAGGUCAUAAGACCCGCCAUUCCAGAGAGGGUCCUGCCACCCACUG
Lemur catta (Ring-tailed lemur) is the source of this 427-nucleotide long non-coding RNA. RefSeq lists it as uncharacterized. The record is from RefSeq and is a predicted model, not a curated record. The transcript is spliced from 3 exons. Lineage: Eukaryota; Metazoa; Chordata; Mammalia; Primates; Lemuridae.